This is a long non-coding RNA of Mus musculus (house mouse), 753 nucleotides long. RefSeq annotates it as predicted gene, 33211. The transcript has 2 exons. NCBI's taxonomy places the organism in Eukaryota, Metazoa, Chordata, Mammalia, Rodentia, Muridae. The record is from RefSeq and is a predicted model, not a curated record.
GGGGAUGGAGGAGGAGAUGGAAGAGGAGAUGGAGGAGAUGGAGGAGGAAAUAGGGAGGAUAUUGGGGAGGAGAUGGAGGAGGAGAUGGAAGAGGAGAUGGAGGAGAUGGAGGAGGAAAUAGGGAGGAGAUUGGGGAGGAGAUGGAGGAGGAGAUGGAGGAGGAGAUGGGGGAGGAGAUGGAGGAGAUGGAGAAAGUUAUGGAGGAGGAGAUGGAGCUUGUGGUAUGAGAACACCAGGAAAUAGAGAGACCAGUCCCAUCUAACUGGAAUUCUGGAACAUUUUGUUACCACAGCAUUGUCUGGAUUGCAAAAUUCCAGGCUGGGCAACUUUUGCACUGUACAGGUCACUCCAUACUCAUGAUUGCUGUUAGUCAUGAUGGGUGUGAGGUUUCCUUGGAGAGUGACAAUUAAGGAUGAGGAGGCAUUAGGUGAAGGGGUGAGUAGAGGCAGGGUGGAAAGAAGUGUGGGCUUUCGGUUGAGGGCACAAGGGAUAGGGCAAGUGAAAGGUCAGGAUUUACUCAAGAUGGAUCAAUCCUUCCUGCUGUGUGGAUGCCUGAAGACUAUCAGGAGACUGAUGAAGAGGCUGUCUGAGCAAUACACCAGCCUUCGAGGUGCACUGUAGGUGCCCUGAGUACUGUGAAGAGGUUUCUGAUGACACAUCACACUGCCUCUGGUUCCGGUGAUGAUUUGAAGAGCAGCCGAUCAGCUCUUCCCCUCUCAUUUCUUUUAACAUAAAAACAUCUUAACAGUCUAA